CACAGAAUCAACCCCAUGGCCGUCCCAGUCCCCAGACCUAAAUCCUGUAGAAGACCUGAGGGAACGAGGCUCUGACUUAAUCUUAAUCUCCUCUGCAUUUUAACAUGGACACUAAUACGUUCUGAGGAAAAUGGUAUAAAAGACGAUGAGUUUAUUGCAAAAAAUGGGAUUCUGGGUUCUUGCUUCUGCAAAUCUUCUGACCGAAAGGAGACAAAAAGUGAAAAAAUGGAUCAAAUUGAAAUAAAACAGCAUUCAU
Girardinichthys multiradiatus is the source of this 256-nucleotide long non-coding RNA. RefSeq lists it as uncharacterized. NCBI's taxonomy places the organism in Eukaryota, Metazoa, Chordata, Actinopteri, Cyprinodontiformes, Goodeidae. The record is from RefSeq and is a predicted model, not a curated record. The transcript is spliced from 3 exons.